RNAcentral lists this long non-coding RNA (858 nucleotides) under Physcomitrium patens. RNAcentral's name for it is "long non-coding RNA (PPAT_LNC009018)". The record is from RNAcentral. Lineage: Eukaryota; Viridiplantae; Streptophyta; Bryopsida; Funariales; Funariaceae.
CAAUAGAAACUAUGUAAUUUAAGAAUAGAAGAAUAAAAUUAUAAAAUAAAUGUUUCAUACUACCAUAAGAUCUUACUCCUUAUUUUAAACUUUCUAUAAUUAUAAAAAUUCCAAGUUGUGAUUUUAAGCAGAAGCAUUUUUGAAUAAUAGAGCCUUAACAUGUUUUAUGAAUAAGACUUUGUACUGCAACAAAAAUUGAUAAUGUCAAGGAAGAUUUGAUUAUCUCUAAUAAAUGUUAUUAACAGAUGGCCAUUUGCAUCAAGAGGUGUUAUGGAAGUGACUUGGCUAUUGGAAGUAGCAUCAAUAAAUCAAGUAUUUAACAUUACAUUUAAUAUUAAUUAGUAUUAUUUAAAUCCAAUGGUAAUUGGCUUAUCUUAAUUUGAAUUUCAUAAUCUUGAUAUUGAUUGUAAAUCAAAAAAAUUCACUUCAAGAUUUAAUCUGAUUGUCAUUAAAUAAAUAUUUUAUUAUAUUUAUUAAAACUAAGGUAUUUAUAUAAGGUACAAAAAGAAGAAGUUAUAUUCAUCAUUUAUACAACAUUAAGUCUUUAUUCAAAUAGAAGUUGCAAAGAAUUUUAAAAUAGUAGAAAAAAUAUAAAAAUACAUGUAAACAAAUUAUUAUAAUAUUAUCAAAAUAUCAACCAUACGAUUGUACAAUUGAUUAUUAAGAAGUAACUCAACUACCAUUUGAACCAAUUAACAACUUGUUGUGAUAUGAAGUUAUUGCUUUCAAAAAAAUAUAUUAAUGAAAAUCCUACAAAGAAUUUUAUUUGAUACUUAAAAUCUUCUUUGUACAAAAAUAAGGUGGAUCCUUGCAAAUAAAUUUAAGAUUAUUGAAGACUCAAAAUAUUGAUCAUCAAGA